RNAcentral lists this ribosomal RNA (225 nucleotides) under Prymnesium polylepis. Its description in RNAcentral is "partial Bacterial large subunit ribosomal RNA". It matches the Rfam family "Bacterial large subunit ribosomal RNA", at positions 530 to 748 of the family's 2925-position model. The record is from RNAcentral. Lineage: Eukaryota; Haptophyta; Prymnesiales; Prymnesiaceae.
CAAGGGGAGUGAAAUAGUAUCUGAAACCAAAUGCUUACAAGCAGUCGGAGCAAGCGUAUUUAUAUGUCUUGUGACGGCGUACCUUUUGUAUAAUGGGUCAGCGACUUAGUUUAUCUAGCAAGCUUAAGCCGUUAGGUGUAGGCGUAGCGAAAGCGAGUCUGAAUAGGGCGACUGAGUAUGUAGCAUUAGACCCGAAGGCAAGUGAUCUAGGUAUGGGCAGGGUGA